GACGAACGCUGGCGGCGUGCUUAACACAUGCAAGUCGAACGGAAAGGCCUCUUUCGGGGGGUACUCGAGUGGCGAACGGGUGGGUAACACGUGAGUAACCUGCCCUUGACUUUGGGAUAACUUCAGGAAACUGGGGCUAAUACCGGAUAGGAGCUCCUGCUGCAUGGUGGGGGUUGGAAAGUUUCGGUGUUUGGGGGUGGACUCGCGGCGUAUCAGCUUGUUGGUGGGGUAGUGGCUUACCAAGGCUUUGACGGGUAGCCGGCCUGAGAGGGUGACCGGCCACAUUGGGACUGAGAGGCGGCCCAGAUUCCUACGGGAGGCAGCAGGGGGGAAUAUUGCACAAUGGGUGGAAGCCUGAUGCAGCAACGCCGUGGGCGGGAUGACGGCCUUCGGGUUGAAAACCGCUUUCGCUCAUGACGAAGCUUUGUGUGACGGUAGUGGGUAAAGAAGCACCGGCUAACUACGUG
RNAcentral lists this ribosomal RNA (467 nucleotides) under uncultured bacterium. Its description in RNAcentral is "partial 16S ribosomal RNA". It matches the Rfam family "Bacterial small subunit ribosomal RNA", at positions 28 to 507 of the family's 1533-position model. The record is from RNAcentral.